This 433-nucleotide ribosomal RNA is filed under the name uncultured bacterium. RNAcentral's name for it is "partial 16S ribosomal RNA". It matches the Rfam family "Bacterial small subunit ribosomal RNA", at positions 29 to 507 of the family's 1533-position model. The record is from RNAcentral.
AACGAACGCUGGCGGCAUGCCUAACACAUGCAAGUCGAACGAGACCUUCGGGUCUAGUGGCGCACGGGUGCGUAACGCGUGGGAACCUGCCCUUAGGUUCGGAAUCACUCCCCGAAGGGGGUGCUAAUACCGGUUAAUGUCUUCGGACCAAAGAUUUAUCGCCUUUGGAUGGGCCCGCGUUGGAUUAGCUAGUUGGUAGGGUAAAAGCCUACCAAGGCGACGAUCCAUAGCUGGUCUGAGAGGAGGAUCAGCCACACUGGGACUGAGACACGGCCCAGACUCCUACGGGAGGCAGCAGUGGGGAAUAUUGGACAAUGGGCGAAAGUCUGAUCCAGCAAUGCCGCGUGAGUGAUGAAGGCCUUAGGGUUGUAAAGCUGUUUUACCCGGGAUGAUAAUGACAGUACCGGGAGAAUAAGCUCCGGCUAACUCCGUG